GAAACGACUGCUAAGACUGGAUAGGAAGAUAAAAGGCAUCUUGUAUCUUUUAAAAGACCUAGUUAAUAGGUAUGCUUUAGGAGGGGCUUGCGCCAUAUUAGUUAGUUGGUAGGGUAAUGGCCUACCAAGACGAUGAUGUGUAGCUGGACUGAGAGGUUGAACAGCCACAUUGGGACUGAGACACGGCCCAAACUCCUACGGGAGGCAGCAGUAGGGAAUUUUCGGCGAUGGAGGAAACUCUGACCGAGCAACGCCGCGUGAAUGACGAAGUACUUCGGUAUGUAAAGUUCUUUUAUCGAGGAAGAAAAGCAAAUGGCGAACCAUUUGUUUGCCGGUACUUGAUGAAUAAGCCCCGGCUAAUUAUGUGCCAGCAGCCGCGGUAAGACAUAAGGGGCAAGUGUUAUCCGGAAUUAUUGGGCGUAAAGGGUGCGUAGGCGGUCUAGUAAGUCAGUGGUGUAAUGGCAACGCUUAACGUUGUCCGGCUAUUGAAACUGCUAAACUUGAGUUAGAUAGAGGCGAGUGGAAUUCCAUGUGUAGCGGUAAAAUGCGUAAAUAUAUGGAGGAACACCAGAGGCGUAGGCGGCUCGCUGGGUCUUAACUGACGCUGAGGCACGAAGGCGUGGGGAGCAAACAGGAUUAGAUACCCUGGUAGUCCACGCCGUAAACGAUGAGUACUAAGUGUCGGGUUAAACCGGUACUGAAGUUAACACAUUAAGUACUCCGCCUGAGUAGUACGUACGCAAGUAUGAAACUUAAAGGAAUUGACGGGACUCCGCACAAGCGGUGGAUCAUGUUGUUUAAUUCGAAGAUACCCGAAAAACCUUACCAGGUCUUGACAUGUUUUUGCAGAAUGAUAGUAAUAUCGUGGAGGUUACCAGAAACACAGGUGGUGCAUGGUUGUCGUCAGCUCGUGUCGUGAGAUGUUAGGUUAAGUCCUAAAACGAGCGAAACCCUUAUCGUUAGUUGCCAGCACGUUAUGGUGGGGACUUUAACGAGACUGCCAAUGAUAAAUUGGAGGAAGGUGAGGAUCACGUCAAAUCAGCAUGCCCCUUAUGACCUGGGCUACAAACGUGAUACAAUGGCUGUUACAAAGGGUAGCUGAAACGCAAGUUCUUGGCCAAUCCCCAAAAACAGUCCCAGUCCGGAUUGAAGUCUGCAACUCGACUUCAUGAAGUUGGAAUCGCUAGUAAUCGCGAAUCAGCAUGUCGCGGUGAAUACGUUCACGGGGUUUGUACACGCCGCCCGUCA
RNAcentral lists this ribosomal RNA (1248 nucleotides) under Cassava witches'-broom phytoplasma. RNAcentral's name for it is "bacterial SSU rRNA". It matches the Rfam family "Bacterial small subunit ribosomal RNA", at positions 153 to 1399 of the family's 1533-position model. The record is from RNAcentral. Lineage: Bacteria; Bacillati; Mycoplasmatota; Mollicutes; Acholeplasmatales; Acholeplasmataceae.